RNAcentral lists this ribosomal RNA (982 nucleotides) under Tremella variae. RNAcentral's name for it is "eukaryotic LSU rRNA". The record is from RNAcentral. Lineage: Eukaryota; Fungi; Basidiomycota; Tremellomycetes; Tremellales; Tremellaceae.
GACCUCUGGCCUGCGCCCGCUCACAACCACCCUUACUUCAACCUCUGACCUCAAAUCAGGUAGGGCUACCCGCUGAACUUAAGCAUAUCAAUAAGCGGAGGAAAAGAAACUAACAAGGAUUCCCCUAGUAGCGGCGAGCGAAGCGGGAUGAGCUCAAAUUUGUAAUCUGGCGUCCGCCGGGCGUCCGAGUUGUAAUCUAUAGAAGCGUUUUCCGUGCCGGACCGUGUCCAAGUCCCUUGGAACAGGGUAUCGAAGAGGGUGACAAUCCCGUGCUUGACACGACGACCGGUGCUCUGUGAUACGCUCUCUACGAGUCGAGUUGUUUGGGAAUGCAGCUCAAAAUGGGUGGUAAAUUCCAUCUAAAGCUAAAUAUUGGCGAGAGACCGAUAGCGAACAAGUACCGUGAGGGAAAGAUGAAAAGCACUUUGGAAAGAGAGUUAAACAGUAUGUGAAAUUGUUGAAAGGGAAACGAUUGAAGUCAGUCGUGUCGGGAGGAUUCAGCCGGCCCUGCCGGUGUACUUCCUCCCGACGGGUCAACAUCAGUUUUGCCCGACGGACAAGGGAGGUGGGAAGGUAGCACCCUCGGGUGUGUUAUAGCCCGCCGUCGCAUACGUCGGGCGAGACUGAGGAAUGCAGCUCGCCUCUAUGGCCGGGGUUCGCCCACGUCCGARCUUAGGAUGUUGACAUAAUGGCUUUAAACGACCCGUCUUGAAACACGGACCAAGGAGUCUAACAUACCUGCGAGUGUUUGGGUGUCAAACCCGGGCGCGUAAUGAAAGUGAACGUAGGAGGGAUCCGCGAGGAGCACCUUUGACCGAUCUGGAUCUUCUGUGAUGGAUUUGAGUAAGAGCAUGUAUGCUGGGACCCGAAAGAUGGUGAACUAUGCCUGAAUAGGGCGAAGCCAGGGGAAACUCUGGUGGAGGCUCGUAGCGAUUCUGACGUGCAAAUCGAUCGUCAAAUUUGGGUAUAGGGGCGAAAGACU